Molecule: unclassified non-coding RNA, 534 nt
Filed under: Hevea brasiliensis (rubber tree)
Lineage: Eukaryota; Viridiplantae; Streptophyta; Magnoliopsida; Malpighiales; Euphorbiaceae
Source: RNAcentral
UUCCUGAUGGAGCCUUAAUGCCUAAAUAAAAAGAACUCGUUAUUAAUUCAUUAAAAUAAAAGAAUAAUCAAUCAUCUUUCCCCUAACAUAUAAAAAGAUCUCAAUCUAGUGAAGACCUUACUUCUCAGCCAAAUCACAUAAUUUCAAACACAAGGUAUCGCUGAUGACAUCAAUGCUAAAGAAAUUAUCAACCUACAAUCACGUUUAUGAUCCUCUUCCUACUAUUAUUGAAUGGGGAAAACCUAGCAUCAAAACUAGACAAAUUGCAAAGGCCAUUUAACACAAACAUGCAUAAUAUACUCAUUUAAUAUCAUAUAUAGAAGGCAUUGUGUAAAGAUGUAUUGCUGAAACCAGGGAGGCUCAUAACUUCCAAAAAGAUCUCGCAGAACACCAUCAACGGCUCGCAAAGUAGUUGCAGGCCAUGGACAUCCUUCCGCAGCAGGAUCAUGGAGUCAACACUUUAAAAGGCAUGUGGACAUCAGACUCUGCAUCUCAAAACUAAUUGACACGGCCAGGCUCCUGAAUUUGGAUUGA